ACAGUCGUUAUAUUGGGUUUUUUUUUUUUGUAAUAAAACAUGGAUCAUUUAUCGAGUAUAAGAACCACUGUGAAAGCAACUAUUUUCUAUAGACCCUGUUACAGACGAUAGUACCCGUACAUACCUUUUCAAUCUCCCGUUUCUUAACUCCUUCACAACACACGAGAUCCCCUUCUUCCGGAUAAUAUCCCCUUUUUCUUCAUCCAUAGAUCGUGUCCCCAAAUCAUAAACUCGUUACUUUCAUCACCAUUAACAGAUCAAUCUUAAAAAGUUUUCUACAAGCUUAAUUAUUAUUUUGUUCCAUUAACCAAAUUCAACAAAAACUCCAAGAACCCUAGAUUCAAAAUCCAAUUUGUUUAUCAAUAAUUAGAAAUCAAAGUUAGAAAUUGGGGACAAAACUCACCUCUCACAUCAAAGAUCGAAACUCACUGUCCAAAAUUAUAGGUUCGUCAUAACCCAUAUCUCAAAAUCAAAACGCAUGUAUCAAUACAAAUCUAAAGAAAACUUUGUAACCGAUUAGUUUUCUGCUCCUGAAAUCAUCAGAAGGGUUUUUCCUUAUAUAUUUUCCCUGACAACUCAUCAAGUCUUCAAGUGGGUUGAAGAUCUCUUCUCCUGGUGUAAGAAAUAAAACCCCUAAAUUUGAAAUUGAAUCUUCUCUUACUGCUGGUAAUGAUAAUCUCAAAAACCCUCAUUUUAUUUUAUUGUUUGAUUCUGCUUUUAGUAUUUGAAAACCUUAAUAUACUUUUGUUUUAUUGAAGCUUUGAGUGCUGAUGAUCGAACAAAUCUUGUUGGAACUCGUAAGGUAGUACUUGCUUUGUAAAUUUGAUUAAAGGACUCUGAUUUUAUUGUUUUUUUCCUGCAGGAUAAGAUAAUGUCAUGUCGUAAAGAGGAUAACCUGAAUUUAGUGAUUCCCUUUCAACAUAUGUUAGUAAAGGAGAACAAGAAGUUGGAAGAACAAAUGGUUGUAGCUUACAGCGUAACUGAUGGUGAACCCUUUAGCUUAGUGCUGCUAGUCACUACGAGUUUCAAUUGGUCGUAUGAUGAUCAAGGAAUAGUAUUCUAUAGCCUAUCCCUGGUUAUGCAUUGGCGGCAAAUAGCUGUUUGAAAGGAAUGGGAUGGAUCGCAUGAGUUUUCAUCCAAGUUCGAGCAGUGUGUGCUAAUUUUUAUCUUUUUGAAAUUAACAAAGUGAAUGACAUUCUUUGGAGCUAUAAAAGAUUGAACAAUGAAUUUGGUGCAGCUAGAAAUGCUACAGUCUUGUAGUUCUGAUUGUAAAACUUAGCACUCAAAAAAAAAAGAAGGUAUUAGCUUACGUACAUAACUCAUUCUCGACUUAUUUAUGAUGUUUACAAAAUAGAUAUUAGCUUACCUACUUCACUCAUCUCUGAAUAUAUAUCUUGCUACUUGUAAGCUCUAGAAGGAUGAUUAAUGUCUCCUAAGUAACAAUUCCAGGCUCUUGCACACAUUUUACAUGUUAAUUUCAACAUCAAUUUCUCUCAGCUUUAAACUCUUAGCCAACCUAACUACAUCCUGAUCUGUAAUGAUGUUUGUUCCUUUGUGGUGUUAUAGCAAAAUGCAUAUGGUCAAUAAUAAAUGCUUGACAUCAACAUUUGUGUUGUUAACUGCAUGAGAUAUCUUCCGGUAGACUUAGCAAAAGGGGUGCUCCAUGCACUUUGCUUGCAAGCACUAGGCCAGGUACUACAUUGCUGAUCGAAGUUAUUUUGUUUUAUAUGCAUAUCUCUGUUUAUUUUUAUGUAACCUUCAUAUUUACAGUAGGCUUUUCUUUAGUUUCAAUGGGUCAGAUAUUCACUUUGGCAUCAAUCCACCUUGCUUGCAGUAUAUGACUUGUUUGUUGCUUUUUACGUAAUCCGUUAGUUGUGAAUUGGUGUAGUGCUCGUUGAGAAUUUUUGGUUCCUUAAACAAGCUAUUGUCUGUAAGAAGAAGCCAAAUUUUGUCUUUAGAUCAACAAGCACUUGUCCGUUCCUGUUCCCUUUAUUUUUUUAACAAGUCUUGACCUUUUACUUUUAACCGAAGAUCAAGGAAUAAGCGUCAGGAUUACAUUCCCUGGUUAAGAGAUCAACUUCUAGGCACUCCCAUCACAGAUUUUCAUAGGCUCGUACUUGGUCCUUCCUUCAAGACAGUUUUCUAUAGAGCGUACUUGGUGAAUGGUUAUCUGUUUUAUACAGCAGAGGCAGAGCAAUAUAUGACUACACAAAAUAGUGGAGUGACCAUGGAUGCCUUCACCAGCUUUAGAGAAAGCGCCAAAGAUACCAACCUGGUGGGCGAUGAUACUUCUUACUUUGGCAUUGUGAAAAAUAUACUUGAACUCGAUUAUGAAGAAUUCACAGAAGUUGUUUUUCUCUGUGACUGGGUCCUGGUCGAAGACAAAACAACCGGAUCAUAUGUGGAUGCAGAGACGAACACGAGGUUCGUCAACUUCGAAAAGUUUAAGAGAAGCUCUAAAGAAGUUGACGAACCCUUCAUCCAUGCUCUCAAGCUGCCCAAGUCUUUUAUUGUGCUGAUGAGACUAGAAAGCAUUGGCAUCUUGUAUUAGAAUCUCCCAAGAGAUUCGGCCUAAAGGUGAAUGCUUAUGAAGAUCCAUAUGUGUUUGCUGCAUCCACGAAUCAACCUUCUUUCUUCAACAUCUUUAGCUGACGACGAGUACUGGAUGGAGAUUAGGAGCAGGUGGUGUAAUACGGCAUUCAUCUGGUUCUUAUGUAGCUGCCUUUGCCCAUGAUCUUUUUUUGAACUCGUAUGCAGUUGCUGAGCUUUGGUCUAUUAGUGACGGCCUUGUUCUUGCUCUGAAGCAUCAUAUUUCUCAUCUUAUUGUUGAUAGUAACUCGUCUUCCAGUGUUUCUUUUUGUAACUCAGUUUCCUCUCCACCUUAGUAUUUGAGAGGAGAGAUCUUCCUUUAGACUUAGCAGAAGGAGCGCUCUGUGCAAUUUUCUUGCAAGCAUUAGUCCAGGUACUAAAUUGCGCAUCAAAGGUAAUUUGUUUUCAUCUACGUAUUUGUGUUUCUUUGUAUUUUUAUGUGAUACUUUGUGAUUGCAGUUAACACAUCUUGUGUGUUGUUUUUUACAUAAUCCGUUAGUUGUGAAUGGGUGUAGUUCUUGUUGCACAUUUUUGGUUCCUUCAACGUGCACUUAUCUGUAAGAGAUCAACAGUGGUGUUGAAAUUGAAGUGGUCAAGAAUAUUUUUAGGUCAUACUAUACUGUUAGGUCUUUUUUAUUAAAUCUCUAACGCCAAAAUUAGUUUUUUCUGCAAGAUAAUAUUCCGUUCAGUUGGGGAGCUCAAUUCAUCUUUAUGUUGGUUAGUUUUGUUUUUCUAAUGUCCGUAGGUUGGGUUUAAGUGAUUGUAAGAAAAUUAGAUUUUAAGAAUGCUCUAAUAUAAUUAUAACUUAGAAUUGUGUGAAUUCAGUACAUGUGUAAAAUUUUUUGGGGUUUUAUUACCUAACUGUCAACUCAAUUAAUGUAAAUCGAGUUACUGUUGUAAACGUAUUUCGAAUUUGGAUUGAGUGGUGAAUGUUUUGUUA
Molecule: long non-coding RNA, 3529 nt
Organism: Papaver somniferum (opium poppy)
Lineage: Eukaryota; Viridiplantae; Streptophyta; Magnoliopsida; Ranunculales; Papaveraceae
Exons: 7
Source: RefSeq, a predicted model, not a curated record